CAGCAGCCGCGGGAAUACGUAGGUGGCAAGCGUUGUCCGGAAUUAUUGGGCGUAAAGGGCUCGCAGGCGGUUUCCUAAGUCUGAUGUGAAAGCCCCCGGCUCAACCGGGGAGGGUCAUUGGAAACUGGGAAACUUGAGUGCAGAAGAGGAGAGUGGAAUUCCACGUGUAGCGGUGAAAUGCGUAGAGAUGUGGAGGAACACCAGUGGCGAAGGCGACUCUCUGGUCUGUAACUGACGCUGAGGAGCGAAAGCGUGGGGAGCGAACAGGAUUAGAUACCCCCGUAGUCCCUGUCUCUUAUAC
This 301-nucleotide ribosomal RNA is filed under the name uncultured bacterium. Its description in RNAcentral is "partial 16S ribosomal RNA". It matches the Rfam family "Bacterial small subunit ribosomal RNA", at positions 509 to 807 of the family's 1533-position model. The record is from RNAcentral.